Molecule: RNase P RNA, 344 nt
Filed under: Eubacterium sp.
Lineage: Bacteria; Bacillati; Bacillota; Clostridia; Eubacteriales; Eubacteriaceae
Description: RNase P RNA component class A
Rfam family: Bacterial RNase P class A
About the family: Ribonuclease P (RNase P) is a ubiquitous endoribonuclease, found in archaea, bacteria and eukarya as well as chloroplasts and mitochondria. Its best characterised activity is the generation of mature 5'-ends of tRNAs by cleaving the 5'-leader elements of precursor-tRNAs. Cellular RNase Ps are ribonucleoproteins.
Source: RNAcentral
UAAGCAGGGCAGAUGAUCGCGGCUGCAGUUGCUGCAGGUGAGGAAAGUCCGGGCUUCACAGGGCAGGAUGCCGGAUAACGUCCGGUAGAGGCGACUCUAAGGAUAGUGCAACAGAAAUAUACCGCCGGAUGAGGUUCAUCCGGUAAGGGUGGAAGGGCAGUGUAAGAGACUACCGCCUCUCUGGCAACAGAGAGGGCAUAUGUAAACCCCAUUCGAAGCAAGACCAAAUGUAAGCGAUGACGUGGCCCGCCAGCUUUCGGUAGGUUGCUUGAGGCGGCUGGCGACAGCCGUCCUAGACAGAUGAUCAUUCACGACAUAACCCGGCUUACCGCCCUGCUUAUUUU